GACGAACGCUGGCGGCGUGCUUAACACAUGCAAGUCGAACGGAAAGGCCCUGCUUUUGUGGGGUGCUCGAGUGGCGAACGGGUGAGUAACACGUGAGUAACCUGCCCUUGACUUUGGGAUAACUUCAGGAAACUGGGGCUAAUACCGGAUAGGAGCUCCUGCUGCAUGGUGGGGGUUGGAAAGUUUCGGCGGUUGGGGAUGGACUCGCGGCUUAUCAGCUUGUUGGUGGGGUAGUGGCUUACCAAGGCUUUGACGGGUAGCCGGCCUGAGAGGGUGACCGGCCACAUUGGGACUGAGAUACGGCCCAGACUCCUACGGGAGGCAGCAGUGGGGAAUAGUGCACAAUGGGCGGAAGCCUGAUGCAGCAACGCCGCGUGCGGGAUGACGGCCUUCGGGUUGUAAACCGCUUUGGCCUGUGACGAAGCGUGAGUGACGGUAAUGGGUAAAGAAGCACCGGCUAACUACGUG
RNAcentral lists this ribosomal RNA (468 nucleotides) under uncultured bacterium. RNAcentral describes it as "partial 16S ribosomal RNA". It matches the Rfam family "Bacterial small subunit ribosomal RNA", at positions 28 to 507 of the family's 1533-position model. The record is from RNAcentral.